UAAUCACUCAGUCUCUCCCACUCUUUGCGACCCCAUAGACUGUAACCCCCCUGGUUGCUCUGUCUGUGGGAUUCUCCAGGCAGGAAUACUAGAGUGGGUUGCCACUUCCUCCUCCAGGAGAUUUUCCCGACCCAGGGAUCGAACCCAGGUCUCCUGCAUUACAGGCAGAUUCUUUACUGCCUGAGCCACUAAGAUGGAAACUAGUCCCCAUACAGUUAGCGGUCAGGGUCUCAGGGAGUUUGAGAGGAGAAUGAGGUGGGAGCUGGGCGGUCCCAGGUGGUUAUCCUCUAAGGUUGGCCAGUGCUGGGCAACUUAGUGCCGGGGACCGCCACAAGAACAUCCUGCUGCUUCUUAAACACAUGAAGACAUUGAGGGUAGAACUGUCCUCAGGAAAUUGAGGAUGGAGGAAGUGGCCCUUGGAAAAUCUGAGAGGUAUCAGACAUUGUGGAUUUGUGUUCAGUGCAAUUCAGUUUUAUUAUUUUAUGUGUCCUAGGCGUGACUCAGAAUGAAGCUCCUCCCUCCCCCCCAGUGACUCAGCCCAUUUUCCGUCACCAACCUAAGCUGUUAUCAUAAUUUGAAAUAUUUAAAAAAUAGGCACAAAAACCGCUCCAAGACUAUGAAAGCAAAAGCCAACGUUAUGAGAGUACAUUAUUUUGUAAAAGAGUGAAGAGAAUUUUCAGUGUUGAUGGAUAUGACUGUGGUUCAUUAAUUGUCACUGUUGUGUAGUAUUUCAUUGUAGCUAUAUACCACAAUUUAUUUACCCAUAUUUGAGUCACGAGGCAUUUGCUCUAUCUCCAGCUUCUUGCUAUUGCAAGCAAUGCUGCUUUAAACUUUUUUGUAUUGGAGAAGGAAAUGGCUACCCACUCCAGUAUUCUUGCCUGGAAAAUCCCAUGGUCUGAGCAUCCUGGUAGGCUACAGUCCAUGGGGUCGCAAAGAGUUGGACACGACUGAGCGACUUCACUUAUUAUGUUCAUAUGGAUGAGCUUCUUUAGGGACUACACUUAGGAGUAGAAUUCUUGAGUUGUCAAGUUCUCCAGAUACUGCUGAAAAGUUUUCUGGAGAGACUGGACCAAUUUACAUAGCUCUGUAUCCCCACUAAUUCUUGGGUAUUGUCAAACUUUUAAUGUUUACCAAUCUGGUUGGCAUAAAAUGAUAUCUUGUGGUUAUGAUUUUCCCUGAUUUCUACUUAGGUGCAUUGGUCAUACAUGUGUCCUCUCUAUGAAAUACCUGUUAACCAUUUUUCUAUUUGGUAUUUAUUUCUUACUCAUUUGUAAACAUCCUUUAUAUAUCCUCGAUACUCAUUCUUGGGUGGGAAUGUGUAUGGUAAAUGUCUUCUCCCCAUUUGUCACUUGCUUUUUCAUUUAAUUAUUUUUUCAGUGCAUAGUUCUUUAUUUUAAUGUGCCAAACAUACAAAUAAUUUUCUUAAGUGGGUUUUGUAUCUUUUCAAAAAGGAUUUUUAUCUGUUUAUAAGGAUAUCUUUUAUUUGUCUAUGUCAAUUAUAUCUUUUUUAACAGUAACUUUUUUAUUUCCUCUAAAAGCCAUAAGUUUUUCCUUUCAUAUUUAUAUCAUCAUUCAUCUAGAAUUUAGUUUUGUGUAUGAUGUUAGGUUGGAAUCCACUUUCUUUUCCACUUGGAUAAUCAGUUAGCCCAGCAUUAUCUCCUCAUUGAUCUGCAGUGUCACCUCUGUCAUGUAUCAAGUUUCCAUAUGUCCUGCAGAUUGGGAACAUUGGUCCUAGCAGUGUGUGUAUUUGGAUAGAAUCCUCUUACAAUAAAACAAGCUGAGGUCCCAGGGAGCUCAUCGUGUCUGUGCUGGAUUUGUUGGUACUGGUGACAUUUGGCAGAGACUGAAUACCUGGCUUGUAGAAGGAAACCUACCUCACCCUCGGUCUUGCUCUGGUAUGUGGAAGGCACACCACGACCAAUGACCAUGCCUCCUGCAUGCCUGGGGAUAAGGUCGAUACGGGACUGAUAGCGACCCCUGGUGGCCAGCGCACCCUUGUACAAAGGAUCGGCCCUCGUGUGGUCAUUUCAGGCAAGGAUGUAACCAUGAGCACCACCCUGAAUCCAGAAAUUGAGGUUUCCUAAAGAGUUCUUGGAAGGCAGUUCCUGGCGGCACUUCAACCUCAAAGAAGCAAAGAGAAGCCAAAACAAAAUCCAGACGCCCUUCAUGGCACAUUUGCUUUGUUAUGGAGGGCAGCGCUGCCAGAGAGAAGUCACUUUUCAAGUUUUCCACAUAUUGUCCCUCCUGGUGUCCUCAGAAAGGUAAACUUGGUGCCACAUAGAUCACUGUGCUACAGCGUAAGACUGUCCAGGGGCCCUGAGGACGUCUGUGCCCCCACGAGGGAAGAAGCCACUCUGACUGCCCCAGAGAGGAAAUCCCAUGAGAAGAAAGACUGUGGUUGCAGCAGAGGCGUGGCGGAGGCCCAAGGCCACACGGAGCACAGUGAGGCCCCCUGGCAGUGUCCCCAGCAACAGCGUCUCAGAGAUUCCGACAUGGUCUUUUGUGUUGUGUGACUCUUGGGAAGACCUGUUUUCCCUUAAGUCCCAGAGCCAUGGGACAGGGCGCCGAGUUUGGCAGUGCUGGUUGCUGACAUCUGCACGUUGGCGCUGUUCUCCGUGCAGCCAGCCCUGACACCGGCGGGGUUCCCUUCGGCUUCCCUGC
Molecule: long non-coding RNA, 2661 nt
Organism: Dama dama (fallow deer)
Lineage: Eukaryota; Metazoa; Chordata; Mammalia; Artiodactyla; Cervidae
Exons: 4
Source: RefSeq, a predicted model, not a curated record